RNAcentral lists this ribosomal RNA (301 nucleotides) under uncultured bacterium. RNAcentral's name for it is "partial 16S ribosomal RNA". It matches the Rfam family "Bacterial small subunit ribosomal RNA", at positions 509 to 807 of the family's 1533-position model. The record is from RNAcentral.
CAGCCGCCGCGGGAAUACGGAGGGAGCUAGCGUUGUUCGGAAUUACUGGGCGUAAAGCGCACGUAGGCGGCUUUGUAAGUUAGAGGUGAAAGCCUGGAGCUCAACUCCAGAAUUGCCUUUAAGACUGCAUCGCUUGAAUCCGGGAGAGGUGAGUGGAAUUCCGAGUGUAGAGGUGAAAUUCGUAGAUAUUCGGAAGAACACCAGUGGCGAAGGCGGCUCACUGGACCGGCAUUGACGCUGAGGUGCGAAAGCGUGGGGAGCAAACAGGAUUAGAUACCCGCGUAGUCCCUGUCUCUUAUAC